Molecule: ribosomal RNA, 557 nt
Filed under: uncultured bacterium
Lineage: Bacteria
Description: partial 16S ribosomal RNA
Rfam family: Bacterial small subunit ribosomal RNA
Source: RNAcentral
UGGGAAUAUUGGACAAUGGGCGGAAGCCUGAUCCAGCAACGCCGCGUGAGGGAUGACGGCCUUCGGGUUGUAAACCUCUUUCAGCACAGACGAAGCGCAAGUGACGGUAUGUGCAGAAGAAGGACCGGCCAACUACGUGCCAGCAGCCGCGGUAAUACGUAGGGUCCGAGCGUUGUCCGGAAUUAUUGGGCGUAAAGGGCUCGUAGGCGGUUUGUCGCGUCGGGAGUGAAAACACCGGGCUUAACUCGGUGCUUGCUUUCGAUACGGGCAGACUAGAGGCAUUCAGGGGAGAACGGAAUUCCUGGUGUAGCGGUGAAAUGCGCAGAUAUCAGGAGGAACACCGGUGGCGAAGGCGGUUCUCUGGGAAUGUCCUGACGCUGAGGAGCGAAAAGUGUGGGGAGCGAACAGGAUUAGAUACCCUGGUAGUCCACACCGUAAACGUUGGGCGCUAGGUGUGGGAUCCAUUCCACGGGUUCCGUGCCGCAGCUAACGCAUUAAGCGCCCCGCCUGGGGAGUACGGCCGCAAGGCUAAAACUUAAAUGAAUUGACGGGGUCAU